RNAcentral lists this ribosomal RNA (453 nucleotides) under uncultured bacterium. RNAcentral's name for it is "partial 16S ribosomal RNA". It matches the Rfam family "Bacterial small subunit ribosomal RNA", at positions 355 to 824 of the family's 1533-position model. The record is from RNAcentral.
UGGGGAAUAUUGCACAAUGGGCGAAAGCCUGAUGCAGCAACGCCGCGUGAGUGAUGAAGGUCUUCGGAUUGUAAAGCUCUGUCUUUUGGGACGAUAAUGACGGUACCAAAGGAGGAAGCCACGGCUAACUACGUGCCAGCAGCCGCGGUAAUACGUGGGUGGCGAGCGUUGUCCGGAUUUACUGGGCGUAAAGGGUGCGUAGGCGGAUGUUUAAGUGAGAUGUGAAAUACCCGGGCUUAACUUGGGUGCUGCAUUUCAAACUGGAUAUCUAGAGUGCAGGAGAGGAGAAUGGAAUUCCUAGUGUAGCGGUGAAAUGCGUAGAGAUUAGGAAGAACACCAGUGGCGAAGGCGAUUCUCUGGACUGUAACUGACGCUGAGGCACGAAAGCGUGGGUAGCAAACAGGAUUAGAUACCCUGGUAGUCCACGCCGUAAAACGAUGAGUACUAGGUGUA